UACGGAGGGUGCAAGCGUUAAUCGGACUUGCGGGGCGUAAAGCGCACGCAGGCGGUUGGAUAAGUUAGAUGUGAAAGCCCCCGGCUCAACCUGGGAAUUGCAUUUAAAACUGUCCAGCUAGAGUCUUGUAGAGGGGGGUAGAAUUCCAGGUGUAGCGGUGAAAUGCGUAGAGAUCUGGAGGAAUACCGGUGGCGAAGGCGGCCCCCUGGACAAAGACUGACGCUCAGGUGCGAAAGCGUGGGGAGCAAACAGG
Molecule: ribosomal RNA, 253 nt
Filed under: uncultured bacterium
Lineage: Bacteria
Description: partial 16S ribosomal RNA
Rfam family: Bacterial small subunit ribosomal RNA
Source: RNAcentral